GAUGAAUGCUAGCUACAGGCUUAACACAUGCAAGUCGAGGGGUAACGAGAGGGAAGCUUGCUUUCCUUGUCGACGACCGGCGCACGGGUGAGUAACGCGUAUCCAACCUGCCCCCAACUAGGGAAUAACCUUGCGAAAGUAAGACUAAUACCCUAUAAUUUCCUCAGAUGUCAUCUGACGAGGAAUAAAGAUUUAUCGGUUGUGGAUGGGGAUGCGUGUGAUUAGCUUGUUGGCGGGGUAACGGCCCACCAAGGCAACGAUCAGUAGGGGUUCUGAGAGGAAGGUCCCCCACAUUGGAACUGAGACACGGUCCAAACUCCUACGGGAGGCAGCAGUGAGGAAUAUUGGUCAAUGGGCGGAAGCCUGAACCAGCCAAGUAGCGUGCAGGAUGACGGCCCUAUGGGUUGUAAACUGCUUUUAUACAGGAAUAAAGUUAGCCACGUGUGGUUAUUUGUAGGUACUGUAUGAAUAAGGACCGGCUAAUUCCGUGCCAGCAGCCGCUGUAA
RNAcentral lists this ribosomal RNA (506 nucleotides) under uncultured bacterium. RNAcentral's name for it is "partial 16S ribosomal RNA". It matches the Rfam family "Bacterial small subunit ribosomal RNA", at positions 28 to 523 of the family's 1533-position model. The record is from RNAcentral.